RNAcentral lists this non-coding RNA (26 nucleotides) under Homo sapiens (human). The record is from RNAcentral. Lineage: Eukaryota; Metazoa; Chordata; Mammalia; Primates; Hominidae.
AUGGACAACAUGUUGAUGGCAGGAGG